Molecule: long non-coding RNA, 1854 nt
Organism: Phyllopteryx taeniolatus (common seadragon)
Lineage: Eukaryota; Metazoa; Chordata; Actinopteri; Syngnathiformes; Syngnathidae
Exons: 4
Source: RefSeq, a predicted model, not a curated record
CUUCCACCAGAUGUUGCAGAGUGGGUUCAGGUAGCACUGAUGCUGGAGCGUAAGGAUGGAAGGCCUUAUUACCCCCUCUCAAUAACAAAUAUUCAUCAUGACAAAAAGAAAAAUCACACAGCGCACACCCAAAGAAAAAUAUUUGGAAAAGAUAUAAAUGCUUAAAUAAUGAUGACCUCGUUUCAAUGUGUUCACUAUUUAUUUUGUGUGAAAUCGUGGCCUGUUUAAAAGUACACAGGGUUGAUAGACUCGCAGGAAGCCGUUUGUUGUGCUUGCUGCCAUCUAAUGGAAGAUAAUUUAAUCGUUCUGUCUUUCCCUGUACAUCGCUGGGAUAGAUGGAUAAACAAAGAUAUGUUUGUAAUUAGUAAUUGUUAAUUUUCUAACAAACGAAGCAAAAAUGGCACCACGACACCCUGGUUUUGAAUCACUGCUGUAAUGUACAUUUAAAAGGAAACAAUGUUUUUGAUUGACAAGAACACACACAAUGUUCCUGUUUUUGUGUGAUAUACCUUCAUAAUCUCAAAUACAUGUAUAUUUUUGAACUGAAAAGUUAAACAUCUACAAUGUUAGGUUUAUUGACUCGAAAUUGUCUUUGAUGUAUAUAAAAUUCAUCUUGUUGGAGACAAUAAAUUAUUUCCAAAAACAUGUAAUGUUCAUAGGAGACAGAAAAUGAAAAAAGUUGACUCCAAAUUGUCUUUGAUGUUUACGAAAUGAGUAUGCUAAGUUCAUGGAAGACUGAAAACGUCUUGGAUGUUUAUAACAAAAUUGGUUCGUUGGAGACGACAAAUGAUUUUGUACAGUAACUCUAAUUACACUAUUGUGUCUUUGAUGUUUAAAAAAUCAAUUAGUGUCCAAAAGACUCAAGUAUUUGUAUGUUUCAGGCAGGCGAAGUUUGGCCAGCUAAGUUUUGGGUCCUUUGUGGCUCGUGUGUACGCAAACGGUUGAGCGUGGUAGAAAAGAGAGAGCGGCACUGCUAAUGGUUCCGUAGUUAAUUAGUGUGACCUAGUUCGAUUUUACAACCCGUCAUUUGGGAGCAAGAGGUGUCUGUCUUCCUUUACCGAGUGUGCGUCCUUGAGAGGUGAGUGGGAACCGCCACUUCUAUGUUCAUUAUGAGUUUUCGUGAAGUUAAGUCCUUCCGCUACCUGUCGAGUUGUGCCGCUUUAGCAUUAGCAAUGGUUAGCUGAAUGUCUGUUUGUCCUUAUUUAAUGUGCCUUAUUUUCCGUACAAUGAAUAAGCCUAUUAACACAUUUGGUUAGAAAUAUCUCUCUUCAGUUAGGAAUUCUGUCCUUUGUUUCUCAUUGUAGAGACCACAACCACAUAUAAACAAGUAUAAACACAGACGCAUACAAGAUACCUCAAUCACCCCAAAUAACACAAAAGUGGAAAGUAAAGCGGACAAACUCGUCCAUCUUCCAGGAAUUCCAGACCUGCGAGUCGAACGUCUUUUAGGAUUGCCAUGAAGGUUAUGCAUCCAGCAGACGUUCGACUCUCAUUCCAGUACGCAGUGCAGACAAAAAAGGUUUUCUCCCAGUCAUAACCAACAAUGUCGACGAAACGUGCUGCACCGACAAGGGCACCUGCAGUCGCACCCAAAAGGCAAAGGAAGGUGCUAACUAUCGAAGGUGGCAUGUCUGUUUAUAAGAAUCUUCUCGCCCAGAAGAAAAAAGAGCGGCAACAACCAUCUAUAACUAUGUUCUUCUCGAGGAAAAAAAGACAGUGGAAAAGGACGCGAGAGCGGAGCGGCGUCAGGACGAAGAGGGAUGGUCAGAGGAAGCGUGAAAUACGCGCGGGUCACAAUUAAUAAUUUCUUACGUUUCCAACCUCAUACGCUGUUCAUUAAAAUUUAAUUUAUUU